RNAcentral lists this ribosomal RNA (798 nucleotides) under uncultured organism. Its description in RNAcentral is "SSU rRNA". It matches the Rfam family "Bacterial small subunit ribosomal RNA", at positions 32 to 827 of the family's 1533-position model. The record is from RNAcentral.
ACCGCUGGCGGCGUGCUUAACACAUGCAAGUCGCCUGAAGCAUAUGCGACGGAGUUUUUCGGAACAAAGAUGCAUAUGACUGAGUGGCGGACGGGUGAGUAACGCGUGGGUAACCUGCCUCACACAGGGGGAUAGCAGUUGGAAACGACUGGUAAUACCGCAUAAGCGCACGGUACCGCAUGGUACAGUGUGAAAAACUUAAGGUGGUGUGAGAUGGACCCGCGUCUGAUUAGCUAGUUGGUGAGAUAAAAGCCCACCAAGGCGACGAUCAGUAGCCGACCUGAGAGGGUGACCGGCCACAUUGGGACUGAGACACGGCCCAGACUCCUACGGGAGGCAGCAGUGGGGAAUAUUGCACAAUGGAGGAAACUCUGAUGCAGCGACGCCGCGUGAGUGAAGAAGUAUUUCGGUAUGUAAAGCUCUAUCAGCAGGGAAGAUAAUGACGGUACCUGACUAAGAAGCUCCGGCUAAAUACGUGCCAGCAGCCGCGGUAAUACGUAUGGAGCAAGCGUUAUCCGGAUUUACUGGGUGUAAAGGGAGUGUAGGUGGCACAGCAAGUCAGAAGUGAAAGCCCGGGGCUCAACCCCGGGACUGCUUUUGAAACUGUUGGGCUGGAGUGCAGGAGAGGUAAGUGGAAUUCCUAGUGUAGCGGUGAAAUGCGUAGAUAUUAGGAGGAACACCAGCGGCGAAGGCGGCUUACUGGACUGUAACUGACACUGAGGCUCGAAAGCGUGGGGAGCAAACAGGAUUAGAUACCCUGGUAGUCCACGCUGUAAACGAUGAAUACUAGGUGUCGGG